UAAUACUGUCUGGUUAUGUCGC
This 22-nucleotide microRNA is filed under the name Petromyzon marinus (sea lamprey). RNAcentral's name for it is "pma-miR-429-3p". Its record names the gene pma-miR-429-3p. Lineage: Eukaryota; Metazoa; Chordata; Hyperoartia; Petromyzontiformes; Petromyzontidae. The record is from miRBase by way of RNAcentral.